GACGAACGCUGGCGGCGUGCUUAACACAUGCAAGUCGAACGGAAAGGCCCUGCUUUUGUGGGGUGCUCGAGUGGCGAACGGGUGAGUAACACGUGAGUAACCUGCCCUUGACUUUGGGAUAACUUCAGGAAACUGGGGCUAAUACCGGAUAGGAGCUCCUGCUGCAUGGGGGGGGUUGGAAAGUUUCGGCGGUUGGGGAUGGACUCGCGGCUUAUCAGCUUGUUGGUGGGGUAGUGGCUUACCAAGGCUUUGACGGGUAGCCGGCCUGAGAGGGUGACCGGCCACAUUGGGACUGAGAUACGGCCCAGACUCCUACGGGAGGCAGCAGUGGGGAAUAUUGCACAAUGGGCGGAAGCCUGAUGCAGCAACGCCGCGUGCGGGAUGACGGCCUUCGGGUUGUAAACCGCUUUCGCCUGUAACGAAGCGUGAGUGACGGUAAUGGGUAAAGAAGCACCGGCUAACUACGUG
Molecule: ribosomal RNA, 468 nt
Filed under: uncultured bacterium
Lineage: Bacteria
Description: partial 16S ribosomal RNA
Rfam family: Bacterial small subunit ribosomal RNA
Source: RNAcentral